UGAGUAAAUGCACAUACGCACCUGGGUC
RNAcentral lists this small RNA (28 nucleotides) under Bombyx mori (domestic silkworm). RNAcentral describes it as "piRNA piR-bmo-1771796". Lineage: Eukaryota; Metazoa; Arthropoda; Insecta; Lepidoptera; Bombycidae. The record is from RNAcentral.